This is a long non-coding RNA of Penaeus indicus, 2229 nucleotides long. RefSeq lists it as uncharacterized. The record is from RefSeq and is a predicted model, not a curated record. NCBI's taxonomy places the organism in Eukaryota, Metazoa, Arthropoda, Malacostraca, Decapoda, Penaeidae. The transcript is spliced from 2 exons.
CCGGGUCGUGGUGAGAGUCCCGUCCAGUCCGGAGGAGUCGCGAGGCAGAGAGUCGCUGCUGCUGCUGUUUGUACUAGGGUAAGAGUGGGGAUAGGGUUGGGUGAAAAUGGUACGCUCACCAACCCGGCGAUCUCCACGGCCGAGGUCCCCAAGGCCUAGGUCACCCAGGCCGCGAUCCCCUAGGCCUAGGUCUCCGAGGCCUAAAUCUCCUCGAAGGAGAUCUCCUGUGCGCCGCCCAGCCUCACCACGGGUAAGAACUAUACAGCCAGAGCACUCGCGUUUUCACUUAAUCAAAAGAGACCAAAAGCUGUAAAUUUCAUGAAGAUUUGUGAGGCCAUUUCUUGUUGUAAUUAUUAUUAUUAUUUUUUUUUUUUCUGUUAGCUAGUGAUUGUUCUUUUUUAGGCAUUUUCCAGACUAGCGUAUAUUUGAGGUUAUCUUUUUUUUCUUUUCUUUAUUUGUUUUUCCUUCAGAUAAAAGAUAGGUUAGCCUUUCUCUGUGAGGUUUUACUUUUUAUUUUUUUUUAUUUAUUUAUUUAUUUUUUUAAGUUUCCCCCCCUUGUAGCAGGGAUAGAACUUUUGAGGAUAGCACAGGAAGGUUUUAAUGUAAUUUAGCAUAAUUUAUUAAAACCUCAAAGUGGCCUGACAAUUCUGAAUGCAGAGGAAGUAUGAGUGUAAGGCGUAGGUCUCAUCGCUUACCCACUUCUGGCUGUCAGAGAGGAUUUUAAUUAUAAGCUAUGACUGUGAAAUGUGGCUGGACCUCUUUCAGCUCAAGGUCCUUUUUAAACUUUCCCCUAACGGAACCUCGCAAAUCCUGGAUCGUUCGUCGUACCUCUAAAGAUAUUGCGGUCGGGUUAACGCCAGGAUGCAAGCAGUGACUUCAAGAGACAUUGGCAAUAAAGUGGUUUAAAAAAAAAAAAAAAAGGAAAGACAUUUUAUGGCUGUAAGCGUUUUUUCUCGGACACUAAUUUCGCACCUUGCGCGUCGGGAUAAGACUUAUUGAGUUAGUGGUGAACGUGUGGAACUUUGAUGAUUGAGCCAUUGUUACUUAGUGUGAAGGACUGCGUUUUUACGGUGGAGAUUUUGACAAGACUUUACGGAAUGAUUUGAACUAGUAAUAAAAAAAAAAAAAUGCAAGAACUGGACUUGAAAUGUUCAAAUUUGUGUGGAAGUAAAUACGUUUUGGAACUUUAAUGUGAUAGCAUUUAUCAUACUGACUUCCAAUUCUUCCGAGCGGUGGUUUGUGUGUGUGUCAAGAAGACAAGUGCAAAAAAAAAAAAAAAGUUCAGAUAACAUCAGCAACCAUGUUAGUGCAUGUGAUGUUAUAGUUUGAAUAGUGUGAUGGUACGCAAAGGAAGAAGCGUUCUUUUACUCAGAAUCGUAUUCCGAAACAAGGCGUGCAUAAUAAACCCAAAAUUUCCUGUGGCAGUGGAACCUGAAAAGUAUGUUUCAUGGAACUUUUGCUAAGGGUAAUGUGCAGAGUGAAACCAGAAGUGGAUUUGAUGUUAUAAUGAUUGAGAUUUAAUUUUUUAAAAAUGGGAGGAGGCAUUGAAUGGGAUUCUAGUCAUUUGGGCUUAAAAAUGUAACUUUCAGUCUUGGGGAAAGUGAUGUAAAGUAGUAUUGACUCAAAUCCUCAUGGAAAACUCAGCUCAUUAUAAAUUUAUGCGCAAAAGGGACAGUGCGGAACUCAGACCGACUCUUUCAUUUCUCAGAAAGAAGUACAUGACUAUGAGUGUGAUAAAAGUUGAUGCGGUGAACACUGACAAAGCAAAUCUCCAAUGCUUACUGAGAGAGAGAAGAAGGAGCAAAUGCGAGGAAACGCAUAGCCUGGUCCCGGUCACGAGUUGACCAUGGGAACACAGCUGGAGGCUGCAACCUGCUGAUUAAUAGCCCCUCAGUGUGCAGGUCUCAAGGCACUAACCUGCACCUGAGCUUACCAAUAUGGCUAAGGUUGUUGCCCUCAUGGCCUUGUGUUGGAAGUCCAAGAGGCCAUGCAGUGUAUGCUGUGGUCCGCACAGGGUCCACUGGCAAGGUCAUAUUACCAUGGCCACUUGCUGAGUACACUGACAAGGCAUUAAAUACUUUAUGCUCAUUGUACUCAAAUUUUUGGUGUGGUGAGUAUGGAUAAAGGAGAGAGGUGGUUAGUGCUUUUCUUUUUUUAUAUUGUUUUUUUGAUCAUUUUGUAAUUGAACCCCUUUUCAUACAUGUUAAUUUUAUUGACUUUUAUUAUUUU